CUCUCACAUCUCUCUCUCCUCGGACAACGCCGACAACCUUGACCUCUUCCUCUGAUCUCCAACCCGCAUUCAACAUCCGCCACGCCGACCUCCUUCCGUUUCGUCUUCGGAUUCUCCAAGCCCUCCACCACCUCAACCGGGUUUGAAGUCGGAUCCUCGCCUUUGGGGUUACCCUGCGCCUUCAAGUCCCCCGGUUUGCUUCGUUUACCGGUGGUCGGAAAACUGGUGCAUGCCCUUGCCGUCAAGGCCGAGCAGAUAUGUGACGUCUUUGCUGUUGGGUGCAGUGGCUUCGAUAUGUACUGAAAAACUGGUCUCCGAGAUUAUGCCCGGAAACUGUUUGAUAAAAUGCCUGAGAGAAACCUUGCCACUUGGAAUGCCUACAUGUUGGGAAGCCGAAUUCUGUGCAUUUCUCAAUGCCUGCUGUUCGGAUACGUUGGCUUUGGAACUUGUGGCGCGAUGUGGGUUUGGGAAAGAUGUGGUGAUGUGUCAGUGCUCAACCGGGUUUGAAGUCGGAUGGUUUGGCAUUAUAAGAGAACUUGCCAGUCUGAGAUAAAUUGAAUUCUUCCCAUUCGGGGAUCAGGUAGAUGUUAUGAAGUGAUUCUUAAUCUGAGAUCUGCUAUGCUCAACAGAAGGGCCUCCUGUUGAUUUUAAAAAUCCAGUCAACUCCAUUGAGAAGUUGGAGGGAGCUGUCAAACACAGAAGAGAACUUCGGUUCUAUAACUCUGAGAUGCACUCAGCUGCCUUUGCCUUGCCUGCUUUUUUGAGGAAGGAGGUGAGUGCACUCCGUGAUUCUUCAACUCCAGCAAGACAAAGUGGCUUGUCCUAGUAAAUAACUAGCGACAACUCUAUCUUCCUGAUUAUUGAAAUGAGUACUGCAUGGAAGAAUAGAGACCAGGUAAUUAUCAAGUGUAGAUGGAGCUCCUUCUGAAGCAUCGGUGGGAUUUAAGUUUUACUGUGAUGUUAUGUCUUGAAUGACCUAUUACUAUAUGUUUAGCCCUGUUACAUUAUUGGAUCUUAUGAGUAAUUUGCUCAGUAAUCAAAUAAUUAUGAAUAUUUUCAUUCGAUU
Molecule: long non-coding RNA, 1066 nt
Organism: Rosa chinensis
Lineage: Eukaryota; Viridiplantae; Streptophyta; Magnoliopsida; Rosales; Rosaceae
Exons: 2
Source: RefSeq, a predicted model, not a curated record